This is a long non-coding RNA of Gallus gallus (chicken), 1326 nucleotides long. The record is from Ensembl. NCBI's taxonomy places the organism in Eukaryota, Metazoa, Chordata, Aves, Galliformes, Phasianidae.
CAGAGCUGUGUCUGUUCCAGCGGCCAGCAGUUGAUUUCAGUGAAAUGGAAGAUGACUCGUUUGUGUCCAGUCAGUGCAGGGCACUGCAGGGUUUUAAGAGCGUUGUCUUAGUUGCAGAGCAGUGCCGGAUCCAAAGACCGUACAGCUGCAUCGCUGCAGUACUGCAUAAAAGCUAAUUAGCCCAGCCAACAAGGAGAAGAUGCCCGAUCAGUAACGGCUCGAUCAGUAGCAGCUGUUGUUGAGAAUAAGGCUUGUGCUAGAGAAGCUGAUGUGUUAAAGAAGUGCUGUCAGCACCUGAGGCAGGCUGUGAUGGCUUGUCUUCAGCAGUAGACUCCUGUAUUUGCCCUGCAGGAGAUGAUGGCAGCUUGUCGCAAAAUUUUUGUAGCAGAACAUCUUUCUGAUGCUCUGUGCUUGCCCCAGGAUGAAAGAUGCCCUCAAUGUUGCCCUUAACGUGGAGAUCUGGUUGCGAUGCCAGCAUGCACAGCCUUGAAUACAUCAGUGCUCACUGUAGGAUCCUUUGGGAGCUGUAGAGACACAAGGUCAGCUUCAGCCCUCACGUAAACUGGUGUGAUGCCCGCUUGACCCAAAGCUCUGUCAGUGUAAGACAGAGCUGUCAGCUUUCACCUCUCUUGAUGUCCUUGAGGAAAGGAUGGAUUUGAAAGAUGUCACAUCACUAUCAGCUUAUGCUAAUGCCAUAGCAAAAACUUUUCUUAGGGUUGAGUUGCCAUUAUCAAUGGCAAGAUUUUAAUUAUCAGCGAAUCUUCAGUAUAUGUUUACUCUACAGCAAGACACAUGCCCAUGCAGGUGUCAGCAUAAAUAAAACAAGAAUGUACUGCGAAUAUUAGGGUGUUUGCUUUAUCUGCUGUAAGACGAGAGCAUUUACACAGGAGCAAGGUAGUUCUUAUUUCUUUGCUAAAGAAAUAAAAGGUGCGGAGGAUCCUUCAGUGAGAGGCAACCAUCAAAAGAAAGCUUGCAAAACCCUUUUUCCUGCAAACCCCGCGAGAGAUACUGCACGGAGACAACAGGAGCAAAUGUCAAGACAAAACCAGACAAAUGAAAAUACGGAGCAAAUGAUUCAUCAUAGUUUGAGCUUCCUUUUGUUAUUCAAGUCAUCAGCAGAUUUAUCUGCAGCAAAGCCCAGUGAAGCCAAUAUUGCUAGUGAAAAUGUUCCUUCAUUUUUAUUUUGCUUCUCUUUUCUCAGUCUCUUUCACCUGCAGACAGAAAUGUAAGUAAGCAAGCAUACUCAGAAUAUAAAGCUGUGAUUAAAACAGUACAACGUAUAACUUUUUAAUGUUUCUUUUUUCCAUUAAAGCAACUUUCUUAAAG